This 396-nucleotide unclassified non-coding RNA is filed under the name Hevea brasiliensis (rubber tree). The record is from RNAcentral. Lineage: Eukaryota; Viridiplantae; Streptophyta; Magnoliopsida; Malpighiales; Euphorbiaceae.
CUUUAUAGAAACAUAGAACCAAUCCAUAACACCCAAAUUAGAGAGCAGCAAAUCCUAGACAACACAAAGUUACUAAAAAAUAGCAAAAAAUAACCUAAGUCUAGAGAUGCAAGAGAAAGCAAAAGAAAAACUUUGCACGCUACAUUGGAUAUACUCUAGAGCUAGGAGAUCCAAAUCAACCAAAAAAAUGAAAGGCAGGAAAAGGGAACCUUACAAGGCUAGCCCAAAUCAAACAAAACUUGAAACGAAAAACUAAGUUGAAAUGAGCAACUGCCCCAGACUGUCACUUGUAAUUGUUGAAAUUCUCUGGUAAUUGCUAAAACUACUGGGGGGGAUUAGUGAUUUAGGAAGUAAUUGAGAAAAACAUAUAUAUUGAGAAACAGGGGAGACAGAGAG